AAAAACACUGCAAACCUGGCGACAGGGAAAGCGAGGAAAAGCUGGAAUUCGAGGAACCAGGGGCAUCAGAGGACUAAAAGGUGAAAAGGGGGAGACGGGAGUAGCAGGCCACCUUGGCUGGGCAGGCACCAUUGGUAAACCUGGUCUUCGUGGAGAGAUGGGGGAUCGAGGUGAACCGGGAACAAAGGUAAACUGUUUGUACGCACGCAUGAGCUGAAUUUGAGAAAAAGGCAGGUGCGUUUUCGCAGCAUGCGCUUAUAAUAUGGUAGAAAAUGACUGCAAUAGCAAUGCUGUUUUCUGGUAGGCUACAUGAGAAUGCGAGGCUCCUGGGUUGGGGU
Hippocampus comes (tiger tail seahorse) is the source of this 338-nucleotide long non-coding RNA. RefSeq lists it as uncharacterized. The record is from RefSeq and is a predicted model, not a curated record. Lineage: Eukaryota; Metazoa; Chordata; Actinopteri; Syngnathiformes; Syngnathidae. The transcript is spliced from 3 exons.